UGGGGAAUAUUGCACAAUGGGGGAAACCCUGAUGCAGCGACGCCGCGUGAACGAAGAAGGUAUUCGUAUCGUAAAGUUCUGUCCUAUGGGAAGAUAAUGACAGUACCAUAGAAGAAAGCUCCGGCUAAAUACGUGCCAGCAGCCGCGGUAAUACGUAUGGAGCGAGCGUUGUCCGGAAUUAUUGGGCGUAAAGGGUACACAGGCGGUUUAAUAAGUCGAAUGUUAAAGAUCGGGGCUCAACCCCGUAAAGCAUUGGAAACUGAUAAACUUGAGUAGUGGAGAGGAAAGUGGAAUUCCUAGUGUAGUGGUGGAAUACGUAGAUAUUAGGAGGAAGACCAGUAGCGAAGGCGACUUUCUGGACAGAAACUGACGCUGAGGUACGAAAGCGUGGGGAGCAAACAGG
Molecule: ribosomal RNA, 403 nt
Filed under: bacterium
Lineage: Bacteria
Description: partial 16S ribosomal RNA
Rfam family: Bacterial small subunit ribosomal RNA
Source: RNAcentral